Molecule: ribosomal RNA, 497 nt
Filed under: uncultured bacterium
Lineage: Bacteria
Description: partial 16S ribosomal RNA
Rfam family: Bacterial small subunit ribosomal RNA
Source: RNAcentral
GAUGAACGCUGGCGGCGUGCCUAAUACAUGCAAGUCGAGCGAACAGACGAGGAGCUUGCUCCUCUGACGUUAGCGGCGGACGGGUGAGUAACACGUGGAUAACCUACCUAUAAGACUGGGAUAACUUCGGGAAACCGGAGCUAAUACCGGAUAAUAUAUUGAACCGCAUGGUUCAAUAGUGAAAGACGGUUUUGCUGUCACUUAUAGAGGGAUCCGCGCCGUAUUAGAUAGUUGGUAAGGUAACGGCUUAGCAAGGCGACGAUGCGUAGCCGACGGGAGAGGGGGGUCGGCGACCUGGGAGCGGGGACAGGGACCAGACUCCUACGGGAGGCAGCAGUAGGGAAUCGGACGCAACGGGCGAAAGCCUGACGGAGCAACGCCGAGUGAGUGAUGAAGGUCUUCGGAUCGUAAAACUCUGUUAUGAGGGAAGAACAAAUGUGGAAGUAACUAUGCACGUAUUGACGGUACCUAAUCAGAAAGCCACGGCUAACUACGUG